CUUGAAAGCGUGUGACUUGGUAUUUGCGACGAUCGAGGAAUCUGAUAUACUCAAACGAUCAGGGUAUUACGUUAAGGCAUUGAUAACAUAAACUACAACAGAUGAAUUUAACUGGCUGAAUGUUGAGACAUAUUCAUUCCGUCACACAAUCAGUGGAGCUGCGUUUGAUCAUGUGAUCAUAUUAUACGAAAACAAAACAGAAAUGUUUUCAACUGAGAUACUGAAACUGACAGGAGGUGGUGAUUACAGAACGUAUUUAUACAUCAACAUUGACCUAAUCACUUGGGACAACUGGACUACUUUAAUAAAAGAUUACGCCAAGAAACAUUCUGGAAAUUAUCUUAAUUUUAUAGUUUUCUUAGAAGAAGAGAAUAUUUAUUCUACUAUAACGAAUAUAAACUGUAUUGAUGAGAAUUCUAAAAAAUCCACCAACAUCAGACAUUGGUCAACAUGGAUCAUAUUUCAUCACUUGACAGAGUAUCACCUACUGGAAAAUUUGACAAACAAUUUUGACAAUAUGGCGCUUGUCAAACUUCGUGAAAAGCAGAAUGGUGAGAAUUCCUGUACCAAUCUAAUUAUAUAUGAAGUACUAACACUUGUAAUGUCAUCACGUGGUUCCGUGUUUACUUCCGUUGAUACGUCACGUCACUAUGUCCUGUUUCCUAAUAUGGCAUAUGGUUAUAAUGGACGACAUCUUGACGUACUGACUAAAUCUUGGCCACCCUUAAUGGAUGAAAAAGAUGAAAAUGGGACACAGAUAUUCGUAGGCUAUUUAGUGGAUAUGAUGGAGAUCAUAUCACAGAAUCUUAAUUUCACCUAUAGUAUAUACAAUGAUAAAGAGAGCACUUGGUCUGGAUUGGUAAACGGAACCUGGGAAGGGAUGUUUCUUAAAAUGAAGAAUGG
Molecule: RNA transcript, 903 nt
Organism: Patella vulgata (common limpet)
Lineage: Eukaryota; Metazoa; Mollusca; Gastropoda; Patellidae
Exons: 7
Source: RefSeq, a predicted model, not a curated record